UCCGCCCGGGUACUACGAGCACAGCUUAAAACCCAAAGGACUUGGCGGUGUCUCAGACCCACCUAGAGGAGCCUGUUCUAGAACCGAUAACCCCCGUUAAACCUCACCACUUCUUGUUUUCCCCGCCUAUAUACCGCCGUCGUCAGCUUACCCUGUGAAGGUUUAACAGUAAGCAAAAUGGGCCCGCCCAAAAACGUCAGGUCAAGGUGUAGCGUACGAAGUGGAAAGAAAUGGGCUACAUUUUCUACACUAAUAGAAUAUUACGAAUGAUAUCCUGAAACAAAUAUCUGAAGGUGGAUUUAGUAGUAAAAA
RNAcentral lists this ribosomal RNA (312 nucleotides) under Leiocassis sp. JAAG-2007. RNAcentral describes it as "partial 12S ribosomal RNA". It matches the Rfam family "Bacterial small subunit ribosomal RNA", at positions 868 to 1344 of the family's 1533-position model. The record is from RNAcentral. Lineage: Eukaryota; Metazoa; Chordata; Actinopteri; Siluriformes; Bagridae.